RNAcentral lists this ribosomal RNA (503 nucleotides) under uncultured bacterium. Its description in RNAcentral is "bacterial SSU rRNA". It matches the Rfam family "Bacterial small subunit ribosomal RNA", at positions 29 to 507 of the family's 1533-position model. The record is from RNAcentral.
AACGAACGCUGGCGGCGUGCUUAACACAUGCAAGUCGAACGAGAAAGAUUUCUUCGGAAAUUGAGUAGAGUGGCGCACGGGUGAGUAACGCGUAGGUAAUCUACCCUUAUAUUUGGGAUAACAUUGGGAAACUGGUGCUAAUACCGAAUGGUCUUCAUUGCUUUGGGGCGAUGGAGUAAAGGUGGCCUCUUCAUGAAAGCUACCGUGUAGGGAUGAGCCUGCGUACCAUUAGCUAGUAGGUGGGGUAAUGGCCCACCUAGGCGACGAUGGUUAGCGGGUCUGAGAGGAUGAUCCGCCACACUGGAACUGGAACACGGACCAGACUCCUACGGGAGGCAGCAGUGAGGAAUAUUGCGCAAUGGGGGAAACCCUGACGCAGCGACGCCGCGUGAGUGAGGAAGGUUUUCGGAUCGUAAAGCUCUGUCAGAAGGGAAGAAGUGUUAUGUGGUUAAUACCCAUGUAAUUUGACGGUACCUUCAGAGGAAGCACCGGCUAACUCCGUG